CAACAAUUGAAAAUUUACAAGAUGUUUACUGCAGAUACCAGAUACAUGCUACAAGGAUCAGAGAUAUAAUAUUAUAGCUGAUAUGAUCCUUUUUUUUCUCAUUAGAGCAGUAAAAAGUACUCCUUAUAUGAGUUAUCGGAUGCUUACUGGCAAUAACGGAGCCAGAAUAUGAAGGAAUAAACAUAUGAACAUUGACGAAAGGGCUUCAGAUGAACCCCUUCCUGUACCCUAGCUAGCUCCGCCCAUGUUUACUAGUGUCAUCUAGAGGUCAAAACUGUGGCUGUUGAAAUGGAAAAUAGCCUGACGACCUCUUCUCUUCAAGUUCUGGCUUCUGCAUUCUUUAGCAAUACUGGACUGAAGAGUAGGAGGACCACACACAAUUACACCAAUAUCUACACUUCCCCAGCUCUUUGCAUGUGAUCCAAAUAUCUCUUGGAAAUCAGGUCUUUGACCAUAUCGAAUAUUAUUAACAUAUCGAGCCUCUCCAAAGUUACUGUCUAAAGAGGCUUCAUUCUGCUGCAAGAUGUCAGCUUUCUUUGUGGCGUCCUGUGGUUCCUCCUUCGAUGAGGUUUUCCUCUCCCAAAGAUGCCAUAAAGCGAUAACGAAACCCCCAAAUAUAAGAAUACUUGCAGUCAUGCAUCCAAUCAACAAAAGCCCCUUGUACCACCAGUAAGUUAUAUUGAAUGGAUUUAUGUAGAAAAUGUCCAGCAAUGCUACAGUGAUCACAAACCCUAUGGUGGAUACUAUGACAUAUAAUCCAGACCAUACGACAUGUCCAGUACCAACCAAACCAGACAUUCGACAUCCUUUGAAGCCAG
Molecule: unclassified non-coding RNA, 818 nt
Filed under: Hevea brasiliensis (rubber tree)
Lineage: Eukaryota; Viridiplantae; Streptophyta; Magnoliopsida; Malpighiales; Euphorbiaceae
Source: RNAcentral